This is a non-coding RNA of Saccostrea cuccullata (small rock oyster), 810 nucleotides long. The record is from the annotation of a RefSeq genome assembly. Lineage: Eukaryota; Metazoa; Mollusca; Bivalvia; Ostreida; Ostreidae.
UUGAAAGAAAUCUACGAAAAACUAUGGCAAAAGGAACUCGGCAAAUAUUUGGCCUCGCCUGUUUAACAAAAACAUCACUAGGAGAAGCUUACUCUUAGCAGUGCCUGCCCAGUGCAAAAUUGUAAACGGCCGCCCUAGCGUGAGGGUGCCAAGGUAGCGAAAUUCCUUGCCUUUUAAUUGUAGGCCUGCAUGAAUGGAUUGACGAGGGUCAAGCUGUCUCUUGCCUUGAAUAACGAAAUGGACUAAACAGGGAACUACUCUUAGCAGUGCCUGCCCAGUGCAAAUUGUAAACGGCCGCCCUAGCGUGAGGGUGCCAAGGUAGCGAAAUUCCUUGCCUUUUAAUUGUAGGCCUGCAUGAAUGGAUUGACGAGGGUCAAGCUGUCUCUUGCCUUGAAUAACGAAAUUGGACUAAAGGUGAAGAUACCUUUAUAGAAAAGUUAGACAAGAAGACCCCGUGCAGCUUUAAAAAAUUUACUUAUUAAGAGUUGUAAGAUUUUUAGGUGGGGCGCCUAGGAAGUAAAAUUUAACCUUCUUAUUUGUUAAGAAAGACUCUCUAGUGUAGACCCGGCAAGUCCGAUCAUGGGAGAAGUUACGCCGGGGAUAACAGGCUUAUCCAUUAGUAGAGCUCGUAUUGGCUAAUGGGAUUGGCACCUCGAUGUUGAAUUAAGGAUGAUAGCUCUAAGGCGUAGAGGCUUUAGAAGUGGGUCUGUUCGACCUUUAAAACCUUACGUGAUUUGAGUUCAGACCGGCGUAAGCCAGGUCGGUUUCUAUCUUCUUUUUGAAUUUUCUUUUGGCUUGUACGAAAGGACU